This 406-nucleotide ribosomal RNA is filed under the name uncultured bacterium. RNAcentral's name for it is "partial 16S ribosomal RNA". It matches the Rfam family "Bacterial small subunit ribosomal RNA", at positions 29 to 526 of the family's 1533-position model. The record is from RNAcentral.
AUUGAACGCUGGCGGCAGGCCUAACACAUCCAAGUCGAACGAGUGGCGGACGGGUGAGUAAUGUCUGGGAAACUGCCCGAUGGAGGGGGAUAACUACUGGAAACGGUAGCUAAUACCGCAUACCAUCGGAUGUGCCCAGAUGGGAUUAGCUUGUAGGUGAGGUAACGGCUCACCUAGGCGACGAUCCCUAGCUGGUCUGAGAGGAUGACCAGAGACACGGGAACGGAGACACGGGCCAGACUACGACGGGAGGCAGAAGUGGGGAGUAUUGCACAAUGGGCGGAAGACUGAGGCAGCCAUGGCGUGGGUAUGAAGAAGGGCGUGGGGGUGUAAAGUACUGUCAGCGGGGAGGCGUUACCCGCAGAAGAAGCACCGGCUAACUCCGUGCCAGCAGCCGCGGUAAGAC